UGCCUUUGAGGAGCUUACUGUCUACUGGCA
RNAcentral lists this non-coding RNA (30 nucleotides) under Homo sapiens (human). Lineage: Eukaryota; Metazoa; Chordata; Mammalia; Primates; Hominidae. The record is from RNAcentral.